This 1244-nucleotide ribosomal RNA is filed under the name metagenome. RNAcentral's name for it is "bacterial LSU rRNA". It matches the Rfam family "Bacterial large subunit ribosomal RNA", at positions 1564 to 2817 of the family's 2925-position model. The record is from RNAcentral.
UGAGUACGAGAUGCUACGGCAUCGAAGCAGUCUAUGUCAUACUUCCAAGAAAAGCUUGCACUGUCAUAAACAAAGAAUGCCUGUACCAUAACCGACACAGGUGGGUAGGUAGAGUAUACUAAGGGGCGCGAGAUAACUCUCUCUAAGGAACUCGGCAAAAUGACUCCGUAACUUCGGGAGAAGGAGUGCCUUAUUUCUAAGGUUGCAAUAACAAGAUCCAAGCAACUGUUUACCAAAAACACAGGUCUCCGCUAAGUCGUAAGACGAUGUAUGGGGGCUGACGCCUGCCCAGUGCCAGAAGGUUAAAGAAGUUGGUUAGCAUUAGCGAAGCUGAUAACUGAAGCCCUGGUGAACGGCGGCCGUAACAAUAACGGUCCUAAGGUAGCGAAAUUCCUUGUCGGGUAAGUUCCGACCCGCACGAAAGGCGUAAUGAUUUGGAUACUGUCUCGGAGAGGGGCUCGAUGAAAUAGACUUGUCUGUGAAGAUGCGGACUACCUGCACCUGGACAGAAAGACCCUAUGAAGCUUUACUGUAACUUGAGAUUGAAAUUGGACUUUAUUUGCGCAGUAUAGGUGGGAGGCGUUGAGAAUAAUCUUGCGGGAUUGUUGGAGCCAUCAGUGAGAUACCACUCUUGUAAUGUUAGAUUUCUAACUUUGUAUCAUUAUCUGGUCAAAGAACAGUUUCAGGCGGGCAGUUUGACUGGGGCGGUCGCCUCCCAAAGGGUAACGGAGGCGCACAAAGGUUUCCUCUGAACGGGUAGAAAUCGUAUCUAGAGUGUAAAGGCAUAAGGAAGCUUGACUGUGAGACCUACAAGUCGAGCAGGGACGAAAGUCGGUCUUAGUGAUCUGACGGUGCUGAGUGGAAAGGCCGUCACUCAACGGAUAAAAGUUACUCUAAGGAUAACAGGCUGAUCUCCCCCAAGAGUUCACAUCGACGGGGAGGUUUGGCACCUCGAUGUCGGCUCAUCGCAUCCUGGGGCGGUAGUCCGUCCCAAGGGUUGGGCUGUUCGCCCAUGAAAGCGGUACGCGAGCUGGGUUCAGAACGUCGUGAGACAGUUCGGUCCAUAUCCGGUGUAGGCGUUAGAAUAUUGAGAGGAGCCUUCUCUAGUACGAGAGGACCGAGAAGGACAUACCUCUGGUGUACCAGUUAUCGUGCCAACGGUAAACGCUGGGUAGCUAUGUAUGGAGUGGAUAACCGCUGAAAGCAUCUAAGUGGGAAGCCCACCUCAAGAUAAGUAUUCUCGU